Long non-coding RNA from Nilaparvata lugens (brown planthopper), 1942 nucleotides. RefSeq lists it as uncharacterized. The transcript has 3 exons. The record is from RefSeq and is a predicted model, not a curated record. Lineage: Eukaryota; Metazoa; Arthropoda; Insecta; Hemiptera; Delphacidae.
AUGUAAUGUAUUCAAAUGUAAUAAUUAUAAUUAGGAUUGGGAUAAUACAAAAAUAUACUUUUUGCUUAGUGAUAUCUAUUACAUUGUGACAGAAUUUGGUUUCUCAAUAAUUCUCAUCCUGAGUGCCAAACUGAUCAACUGCAUCCUAAUGGAACGUUCAAGAUGUGAUUCAGUAACUGAUACGGUAGUUGCAAUAAUUAUUUUUGACCAAAUUGAAUCCACAAAAUAAUUGAAGAAAUGGUUUCAGAUGAUUACGAACAAGCACAGCUAUCUUUGGAGAGGUAAUGCACCUACUGAUAUCCCGUGAUAAGAACUUGGGAGAGAUUUAGUGAAAACCUGGAGAACGGCCACUUGACUCACAAAUCUGAGCUGUUCACAUCAAGCUGAUAUUUGUGACAGCCAUUAUAGCUUUAAUCAUGUAAGUAAACACUUGAUCAGACUAUAAUUUUCAAUUAUUUGUAUCAAUUAACUGCGCCCGGUUCUACUCAGAAUAACAAAGGCACAGGUUUCUUUCUUUAAACUACAACAGUACUAUCACCGACAGGAGUCGAGUCGGAGCAGUGGUAGCGGACGGUCGUGUUUCGAGGAGCGCAGAUAAGAUAAACCGUUUCUUGUUUAUGCCUUUAGAAAUCUUUUUUCAUCGUAGAUCUUGUCCAUAACCUAAUCACUUACUUUAUUAAUUUAUUCUUUCAAUUAAUACGUAAUAAUCUUUCUAAUAAUAACUCAUAAUUAAUAACAUCAGUAAUAAAAUCGGUAUUGUACCUCUUAAAGUCUACUAAAGUAUUUAGUACUUGUCUCUCUACUUGAACUUAUUAGUUGCGAAUUCAUUCAUCAGUAACCAUAAUCAACCAACUUAGCUGUAUUAAACUGUAUUGAAUCGUAAAUUAUCUCUUUAUAAAUUGUAGGUUUGAAUUACUCUUACUCAUAAUAUUAAUAUAUUUUUUAACCAUCCAGGAAAUUGAAUAAACAAAAUUUUUAUAUAUCUGAUAAUUACCAAUAAAUAUUUCACUGUAUAAAUUCAUUACCGUAUAAUCGGAUACAGGCCAUUAAACCUUAAAUAAAAUGAAAAAUUAACAAAACAGGAGUCCUACUAUUUUUUUCUUUGGGAGGCUGGUGAGAGUGUUUACCGCUACUCCUGGAAACAAUUCGUCCACUAGCAUCCGUCAUAAUGGUCAUUGAACACAACUUAUUAAAUUUGUACAUCUAUAUGAGAUUUGUCCCUUCUGGGAUACGUAGCUUUUUCGAAAUUUGAAUUCGUCAACCCACAUUAAACCAUCCAUUACACUAAAGUCUGCAGUCAGACUAUUUCGUUCUGAAUUAGUCAUAUUUUAAUGAAUAAAGCAAGUAAACAGCAAAACAAAAAAAAACUUAAAUUAGCCAACAGAUUAUCAUGCAAGCAAGCUAACACAUAUUUAUAUUUUUGAUACUAAUAUACUAAUCUUGCAUCCUAUAAGCCUAUUUCAAUUCUUACAGCUCAUCAUGAAAAAUGAAUUCAGUAAGAUUAUUGUUAUAGUUGAGCGUUAAAUAUUCCACUAGGUAAUUGGUAUCAGAGCAUGUAACACUUAACUUUAUUUUUUGAAUCAUUAAAUUCAUCUGACAAUCAAUAUUUUCAUUUAUAUCUCAAUACGGACUUCCUAUGUGCUUAGUCAUGCAGCAUUUAUUAUUCCGAAAACAUAUUCCUUCUCAAUCAAUUAGUAGUAAUAUCUAUCAUUAAAGUGUUGGAUUAAAUAAAAUAGAUAGGUAAAUCAGUGUUCCAAAGAUGAAUUUAAUGCGUUCAUAGUUGUUGAUUGUCAGUAGAUGGUCCAGAAAAUACGCGAUAUACGAUGAAUCACACAGAAUUCCAUAUUAUUUCCAUCUUCCAUUUUAGGAUGAAUAUAAGCUGAGCUAAAUUCAAAAAAUUGUAAAUUAUUCUGUCAUUCUUCAGUAAUUAAUGAAUGCAAUA